Molecule: long non-coding RNA, 273 nt
Filed under: Gossypium barbadense (sea-island cotton)
Lineage: Eukaryota; Viridiplantae; Streptophyta; Magnoliopsida; Malvales; Malvaceae
Description: long non-coding RNA (GBAR_LNC001663)
Source: RNAcentral
UCAAAUUACCCAAAAUUUGAGCUAGUGGCCAUGCUAUGGGUGGAAACAUGUUGGGAACAUGUUGGCUUAGUGUGUUAUGUUAGAAAGAAUAAAUAAAGGGUUAGUAAUUAAGUAAUGAAAAGGGAGGGGUGAUGAAAACAAAGUUGUCUCAUCCAUCCCCCCCCUCCAUUUUGCCGUAACUAGACAAAGAAAAGAAAAAAAAAAAGAAAGGGUGUUCAUCCUUUAACACCUUGGCCGAAAAUUUGAAGGAGGAAGGAAGAAGAAAGGUUGAAG